UUUUUUAGAUAGAGUUGAUACAAUAAGAAGACCAGACUACGCUCCUGACUUACAGGACAUUCUCCGGUGUCGUGUCUUGACGUCUGGUAUCUUUGAAACAAAAUUCCAAGUGGACAAAGUCAACUUUCACAUGUUCGAUGUAGGAGGACAGAGAGAUGAAAGGAGAAAAUGGAUCCAAUGUUUCAAUGGUAAAUUAAUUUUCAUUUAUCUUUUGAGAGAAAGAUUUCAAAAGGAUUUGAAGAACAUUUGUCAAUUGAUUGUUGUUCAUAGUUUUCCUUGGUGUAGGCUGAAACAAGUGGUUUCUUUUAUUAUUGCAAAGGGAGAGAAAAAACAACCAGAAUGAAAUCACUUAUAACAGCUCAUAUGGGUCGAUCUAAAAAAAAAAUUAAUCUCAAGCCCUUUGUUGGAGGAAGGAGAUGGGAGAUGACAGAUGUGCAACAAUACAUCUUUGUAAAAUAAUUACAUUUAAAAAAAUAAUCAUUUUACAAUGGAAUCGGUCGAAUGCCAAAGAUUUGAGAUUUUUCUUAUUUUUCUUUUCCUCCUUUUUUCGGUCACAAAGUUUUACUUUUUUUUUUUUUUUUCCACUGACGGAAUUGCCAAGAGAAGGACAAUUUUGUUAGGAAGACCUCAGCAUGUACAAUGCUCUUGAAAAUAAAAGGGGGGGGGGUCAUGAUAUCUCACGGUGGUAAGAUUUCAUGUUGCAAAAGAUCAAUUUGACCCUUCUUCACGUCAAAUAAAGCCAAAGUGUGUAUAAACCAUUUAUUAGUCAUACAUGGGGAGUAUAUUAUACACAGUAUGCACUCCUGUCAUUUGGACUUUGUACAAGCUAUUUUUCAUCAUAGACUCACUUUACAGGGAUUGCAUGUGAGCAAACAAGGUCAUAUGUGCAUUCACAUUUUGUGUUAUAUAUAGUAGGUUUAUAAAAUACAGCUUGAUGGACGUACCACUAUCCCAUUCUAUUUGACUCCAUCGUGGCUGUGUUUUUUUUUGGUUGGGUAGGGGGUUGGUGAUCUUCUCUGUUGUUCGGUUUGGGCUUUUAUUCUCGUUUUUGGUGUAUUCCAGGUAUAUUGACAAUAUAUAAAUUCAUGGAAAUACAUUUUGUGUUGAUUUCUCAUUUAUCAGACGAGAAAGAUAGAUAUGGUGAUUUCCAACAUGUUGCCAAAUUUGAUAUAAUAUUCAAAGAGGAUUUUGACUUUAACAUCAAUUGAUUUUUACGAAAGCAGGGAAAUGGAAGUUUCAUCAAAGAACAGCUUUGUGUGGAUUUUUAUUAAGUUUUGAUUUUGUGAUGUCAGAUGCAAGCAUUUAAUAUGUAUGUCAUGUAACAUAGAUUCGUAAGAUGCAAUGAAAAGCGAACAUGAUUGUACCUUUGCAUCCGUUCAAUCUAUAAUCACUCAUUUUUUCACGUACGUUUCUGUGAAAAAAUUAAUCGUGGAC
Lytechinus pictus (painted urchin) is the source of this 1434-nucleotide long non-coding RNA. RefSeq lists it as uncharacterized. Lineage: Eukaryota; Metazoa; Echinodermata; Echinoidea; Temnopleuroida; Toxopneustidae. The transcript has 3 exons. The record is from RefSeq and is a predicted model, not a curated record.